UGAAUUUUUGUUUAAUCCAGUUAUUGAGGCCAUUGUUGAAGCAGAUGAUAUAUCAGAUGAACAGAAAGCAAGAAUAUCCAAGAAAUUGGCUGAAGCUGAUAAGCUUCUUGACGUGGCCGGCAAUACAAUUCGAGCUUGUUGUAACAUGCCAGAGGGAUUUUCUUUCGAGGGCUAGAUGAUACUUUCAUUUGAGCUUCCAUUGGCUUUGAUCCCAUUCCUCAAGUUUAGCAGCAGCAGCACCAAGAUGGGUCCUCACAAAGAAUUCUCUAAUUGUGAGCUGUUUUUCUUUCGCUUUCACCUUUAUAUGAUCCAGUGAGCAUCAAAAUCAAAAUUGAAUGAAGGGUGUCAAGACUUGUGUGCAGAUCGUGGUCAUAUCAUAGAUUCUCGGGAUAGGGAUUAUCGAAAUCAAUCUGUAUUACCUAAGUACAGGGUCGGCUAAUUCAUAACAGUCUACCAAGGUUGCAAUUGUGUUCAGUGGGAUCGUAGUUUUUCUUUCAAUGGCAAUAUACAUUGUAGCGGUGAUUUACCUACUCGCAAGAAAAGACACUAUAAACACGUAUAUCGAGACGAAGAACGACUUCACAGUACAGACCCAGGUGGAAAAGGGGUUCAUGAAUUCUAAUAGGCAAUUGGAGUCGGGUCCUGUUCCCU
This is a long non-coding RNA of Prosopis cineraria, 651 nucleotides long. RefSeq lists it as uncharacterized. Lineage: Eukaryota; Viridiplantae; Streptophyta; Magnoliopsida; Fabales; Fabaceae. The record is from RefSeq and is a predicted model, not a curated record. The transcript has 3 exons.